GGAGGAGGCAAGCGUUAUCCGGAAUUAUUGGGCGUAAAGAGUCCGUAGGUGGUUUAUCAAGUCUGGGGUCAAAGACCGGAGCUUAACUCCGGAACGGCCGUGGAAACUGAGAGACUAGAGACCGGUAGGGGUAGAGGGAAUUCCCAGUGUAGCGGUGAAAUGCGUAGAUAUCGGGAGGAACAUCAGCGGCGAAGGCGGCUUCCUGGACUAAUACUGACACUGAGGCGCGAAAGCGUGGGGAGCAAACAGGAUUAGAUACCCUGGGUAGUCCACGCCGUAAACGAUGAUCACUAGAUGUUGGUUCUGCUUAGCGAAAUCAGUGUCAGAGCUAACGCGUUAAGUGAUCCGCCUGGGGAUACGGUCGCAAGAUUA
This 372-nucleotide ribosomal RNA is filed under the name uncultured organism. RNAcentral's name for it is "partial 16S ribosomal RNA". It matches the Rfam family "Bacterial small subunit ribosomal RNA", at positions 527 to 896 of the family's 1533-position model. The record is from RNAcentral.